This 497-nucleotide ribosomal RNA is filed under the name uncultured bacterium. Its description in RNAcentral is "partial 16S ribosomal RNA". It matches the Rfam family "Bacterial small subunit ribosomal RNA", at positions 28 to 507 of the family's 1533-position model. The record is from RNAcentral.
GAUGAACGCUGGCGGCGUGCCUAAUACAUGCAAGUCGAGCGAACAGACGAGGAGCUUGCUCCUCUGACGUUAGCGGCGGACGGGUGAGUAACAGGUGGAUAACCUACCUAUAAGACUGGGAUAACUUCGGGAAACCGGAGCUAAUACCGGAUAACAUGUUGAACCGCAUGGUUCAACAGUGAAAGACGGUCUUGCUGUCACUUAUAGAUGGAUCCGCGCCGCAUUAGCUAGUUGGUAAGGUAACGGCUUACCAAGGCAACGAUGCGUAGCCGACCUGAGAGGGUGAUCGGCCACACUGGAACUGAGACACGGUCCAGACUCCUACGGGAGGCAGCAGUAGGGAAUCUUCCGCAAAGGGCGAAAGCCUGACGGAGCAACGCCGCGUGAGUGAUGAAGGUCUUCGGAUCGUAAAACUCUGUUAUUAGGGAAGAACAAAUGUGUAAGUAACUAUGCACGUCUUGACGGUACCUAAUCAGAAAGCCACGGCUAACUACGUG